Non-coding RNA from Arachis ipaensis, 103 nucleotides. NCBI's taxonomy places the organism in Eukaryota, Viridiplantae, Streptophyta, Magnoliopsida, Fabales, Fabaceae. The record is from RefSeq and is a predicted model, not a curated record.
UUAAAUUGUUUAUUCGGUAGUAUAUUAUUUAUGGCCAUGUUCCAUCCACAAAUCUCAACAUCUUUAUAUUUAUAUGAUUAUUAAAUUGCUAUCUUUAGGUUUG